UUGGACAUAUCAUGUGUUUUGAAACAAAGUAGAAUACAAAUAAAUAAAUAAGUCGACUUUCUGUCCAAACAAGACAGCAUGAAAAGCAGGAACUUGGUGGUGGUAUGACGUUUCAAUGAACCAAAGAGGCUCUGAUUACUGUCUGUAGACACCCACGGCACAAUUAUUAAGUUCAUUGGACAGAGAAGAAUCUGGAUUCAGCUGUGACAGGACAGCAAAUUAAAUAUACAUGGACAAAAGGAGGAGGCAUUCAAGCUUUUUAUAGUCUUCAACAACAACCAGUCCCUACAUUUAAGAAGGUUAAUAACUGAGACAACCUUCCUGGUGGAUCCAUCAUUUGGCCCAGCUUGUAGAAAGAUUCCCAACUAGCUCUAAUUAGUUCCAUCUUAUUUGGAGGCAGAGGUAUUCCUCAUCAUACCCAUAUCCUCACAUAAAUUGUCCAGUGCCCUAGGUACCAGGGAGAAAGAAGACGAAGAAGGACAUAUACCAGAAGCACAUUAAUAGGCUGCUGGAAAACUCUGCCACACUUUCAGAUGACAGGUCACCUACAGAUAAAUGAUUCAAGGAUCAACGAAGUUCUGAAGUUUUUUUUUUUUUUUUUGGGGGGGGGGGAUAGAGUCUCACUGUGUCACCCAGGCUGGAGUGCAGUGGCGUGAUCUCAGCUCACUGCAACCUCUGCCUCCCAGGUUCAAGCGAUUCUCCUGCCUCAGCCUCCCAAGUAGCUGGGAUUAUAGGUGCCUGCCACCAGGCCUGGCUAAUUAUUUUUUGUAUUUUUAGUAGAAACGGGGUUUCACUAUGUUGGCCAGGCUGGUCUUGAACUCCUGACCUUGUGAUCCACCCGCCUCAGCCUCCCAAAGUGCUGGGAUACAGGUGUGAGCCACCAUGCCUGGCCAGUUCUUAAUACUGCCAGGAGUGCUUUAGAAGGCUGGGAAUAUGGGGCGAAAGAUUAGACACCCAAGCUGUUGAAAACCACACAGAGUUUCAGUAAAUAUAUGCACAAUUUGAAAAAUAUAUUUGCAAAAAUCUAGGUGUCUCCGGUCUAGUCCUUCCUAUUAAUCAAAUAAAUUACCGAGCUUCAUGGCCCAGUCUAUGAUCCUAGUUCUGACCGCUGCUGCCCGUAAAGGCCUCAAUGAAUUCCUCUCUGAGCUUCCAGACUUCCUUGGCUGGCGACUUGUUCCUCUUGGGACAGCUUUUGCCUGAGCUGAGCAGCCUGGCCCCCAGCUGUGCAGGGCCCUCUCUCCGGUGAGAGGAAACGCUUUCAGCUUAGUCUGUUAACACAAACAUUCAAAAGCAAACAUUCAAAAGCCACAGAUCAUGUUCGCAUAAAUAAAAUAGGAUUGAGAAAAGCUUUGCCCCAAGAAACCAAAGGGGUGUUUAAAAAACAGCUCUUGCUUUCCAAGUAGGCAGGCAGCAAAGCCACAGCAAUUCCAAAAGUUUGUGUGCUUGGUAGAGCUGGGUGGCUGCAGCCGCAGACCUUUGAAGAGGAAAUGCCAUCCCUGGUACAGGCAGGCGGCCAGCCCAUGAGUCCUGAAAGUACCAGAGAGAAGCAGAAAGCAGGGGAGCACAGUUAGGAAGUGAAAAGGGAGAGGAAGGCACCAAGGAGAUAAAUGAGGAGAUUCUUCUUAUCUAGAGUUCCCACCCCAGAUCUAAGAGCCACAGGACAGAGCAACUCACUGUGCCUGACAGAGCUGGGGCCUGGUGAGUCCUAGGUGGCGGGCACAGCCCAGAGUGACUAAGGCUGUGAGGAGGGGUGUGCGCCGUCACUGAGGGGUGGAGAGGGGUGGUGGUGUCUGGGCUGGGAGAUGCCUUUGCUUUGAAAGCUUUGGAGGAAAUUAACUUUACAAGGUGCCUCCCUGUCUCCCAGAGUUAUUAAAAGAAAGGAGGGAGCAAAGAAGAAAUGGAAAAAUGGUAAUACCUCAGGAAGGGCUGUGUGAUCCCAACUGGAGGAAAUGGGAGGCAGAUGAAGUGACAAAUGUGCAACCUCUCCUAAGGGAGGAAGAGCUCUGAAUGUGACCUUGUGCAAAUGGAAAAAAAAAAAAAAAACACCAAAACACA
Long non-coding RNA from Pan troglodytes (chimpanzee), 2055 nucleotides. RefSeq lists it as uncharacterized. The record is from RefSeq and is a predicted model, not a curated record. The transcript is spliced from 3 exons. NCBI's taxonomy places the organism in Eukaryota, Metazoa, Chordata, Mammalia, Primates, Hominidae.